RNAcentral lists this ribosomal RNA (429 nucleotides) under uncultured bacterium. Its description in RNAcentral is "bacterial SSU rRNA". It matches the Rfam family "Bacterial small subunit ribosomal RNA", at positions 29 to 440 of the family's 1533-position model. The record is from RNAcentral.
AACGAACGCUGGCGGCGUACUUAACACAUGCAAGUCGGACGAGAAAUUCCGAUUCGUCGGGAGAGUAAAGUGGCGAACGGGUGAGUAACACGAGGGUAAUCUACCCUUAAAUUAGGGAUAACCUUGCGAAAGCGAAGCUAAUACCUGAUAAGACUACGAUCUCCAAGGGGAUAGUAGGAAAAGAUGGCCUCUGUUUCAUGCUAUCGUUUAAGGAUGAGCCCUUGCACUAUUAGCUUGUUGGUGAGGUAAUGGCCCACCAAGGCUACGAUGGUUAGCUGGUCUGAGAGGAUGAUCAGCCACACUGGAACUGAGACACGGUCCAGACUCCUACGGGAGGCAGCAGUGAGGAAUAUUGCGCAAUGGGGGAAACCCUGACGCAGUGACGCCGCGUGAGCGAUGAAGGCUUUCGAGUCGUAAAGCUCUGUUAGG